Molecule: ribosomal RNA, 727 nt
Filed under: uncultured bacterium
Lineage: Bacteria
Description: bacterial SSU rRNA
Rfam family: Bacterial small subunit ribosomal RNA
Source: RNAcentral
GGGAUAACACUGGGAAACAGGUGCUAAUACCGUAUAACACUAUUUCCCGCAUGGAAGAAAGUUGAAAGGCGCUUUUGCGUCACUGAUGGAUGGACCCGCGGUGCAUUAGCUAGUUGGUGAGGUAACGGCUCACCAAGGCCACGAUGCAUAGCCGACCUGAGAGGGUGAUCGGCCACACUGGGACAGAGACACGGCCCAGACUCCUACGGGAGGCAGCAGUAGGGAAUCUUCGGCAGUGGACGAAAGUCUGACCGAGCAACGCCGCGUGAGUGAAGAAGGUUUUCGGAUCGUAAAACUCUGUUGUUAGAGAAGAACAAGGAUGAGAGUAAAAUGUUCAUCCCUUGACGGUAUCUAACCAGAAAGCCACGGCUAACUACGUGCCAGCAGCCGCGGUAAUACGUAGGUGGCAAGCGUUGUCCGGAUUUAUUGGGCGUAAAGCGAGCGCAGGCGGUUUCUUAAGUCUGAUGUGAAAGCCCCCGGCUCAACCGGGGAGGGUCAUUGGAAACUGGGAGACUUGAGUGCAGAAGAGGAGAGUGGAAUUCCAUGUGUAGCGGUGAAAUGCGUAGAUAUAUGGAGGAACACCAGUGGCGAAGGCAGCUCUCUGGUCUGUAACUGACGCUGAGGCUCGAAAGCGUGGGGAGCGAACAGGAUUAGAUACCCUGGUAGUCCACGCCGUAAACGAUGAGAAAUAAGUGUUGGAGGGUUUCCGCCCUUCAGUGCUGCAGCA